Molecule: ribosomal RNA, 432 nt
Filed under: uncultured bacterium
Lineage: Bacteria
Description: partial 16S ribosomal RNA
Rfam family: Bacterial small subunit ribosomal RNA
Source: RNAcentral
ACGAACGCUGGCGGCAUGCCUAACACAUGCAAGUCGAACGAGACCUUCGGGUCUAGUGGCGCACGGGUGCGUAACGCGUGGGAAUCUGCCCUUGGGUUCGGAAUAACAGUUGGAAACGACUGCUAAUACCGGAUGAUGACGUAAGUCCAAAGAUUUAUCGCCCAAGGAUGAGCCCGCGUAGGAUUAGCUAGUUGGUGAGGUAAAGGCUCACCAAGGCCACGAUCCUUAGCUGGUCUGAGAGGAUGAUCAGCCACACUGGGACUGAGACACGGCCCAGACUCCUACGGGAGGCAGCAGUGGGGAAUAUUGGACAAUGGGCGAAAGCCUGAUCCAGCAAUGCCGCGUGAGUGAUGAAGGCCUUAGGGUUGUAAAGCUCUUUUACCCGGGAUGAUAAUGACAGUACCGGGAGAAUAAGCUCCGGCUAACUCCGUG